This 402-nucleotide ribosomal RNA is filed under the name uncultured Eubacteriales bacterium. Its description in RNAcentral is "uncultured Clostridiales bacterium partial 16S ribosomal RNA". It matches the Rfam family "Bacterial small subunit ribosomal RNA", at positions 355 to 774 of the family's 1533-position model. The record is from RNAcentral. Lineage: Bacteria; Bacillati; Bacillota; Clostridia; Eubacteriales.
UGGGGAAUAUUGCACAAUGGGGGAAACCCUGAUGCAGCGACGCCGCGUGAGUGAAGAAGUAUUUCGGUAUGUAAAGCUCUAUCAGCAGGGAAGAUAAUGACGGUACCUGACUAAGAAGCCCCGGCUAACUACGUGCCAGCAGCCGCGGUAAUACGUAGGGGGCAAGCGUUAUCCGGAUUUACUGGGUGUAAAGGGAGCGUAGGUGGCAAGGUAAGUCAGAUGUGAAAGCCCGGGGCUCAACCCCGGGACUGCAUUUGAAACUAUCUAGCUAGAGUGCAGGAGAGGUAAGUGGAAUUCCUAGUGUAGCGGUGAAAUGCGUAGAUAUUAGGAGGAACACCAGUGGCGAAGGCGACUUACUGGACUGUAACUGACACUGAGGCUCGAAAGCGUGGGGAGCAAACA